This 301-nucleotide ribosomal RNA is filed under the name uncultured bacterium. Its description in RNAcentral is "partial 16S ribosomal RNA". It matches the Rfam family "Bacterial small subunit ribosomal RNA", at positions 509 to 807 of the family's 1533-position model. The record is from RNAcentral.
CAGCCGCCACGGGAAUACGUAGGGUGCAAGCGUUAAUCGGAAUUACUGGGCGUAAAGCGUGCGCAGGCGGUUUGUUAAGACAGAUGUGAAAUCCCCGGGCUCAACCUGGGACCUGCAUUUGUGACUGUAUAGCUAGAGUACGGUAGAGGGGGAUGGAAUUCCGCGUGUAGCAGUGAAAUGCGUAGAUAUGCGGAGGAACACCGAUGGCGAAGGCAAUCCCCUGGACCUGUACUGACGCUCAUGCACGAAAGCGUGGGGAGCAAACAGGAUUAGAUACCCGGGUAGUCCCUGUCUCUUAUAC